GGCGGACGGGUGAGUAACACGUGGGCAACCUGCCUAUAAGACUGGGAUAACUUCGGGAAACCGGAGCUAAUACCGGAUACGUUCUUUUCUCGCAUGAGAGAAGAUGGAAAGACGGUUUACGCUGUCACUUAUAGAUGGGCCCGCGGCGCAUUAGCUAGUUGGUGAGGUAAUGGCUCACCAAGGCGACGAUGCGUAGCCGACCUGAGAGGGUGAUCGGCCACACUGGGACUGAGACACGGCCCAGACUCCUACGGGAGGCAGCAGUAGGGAAUCUUCCGCAAUGGACGAAAGUCUGACGGAGCAACGCCGCGUGAACGAAGAAGGCCUUCGGGUCGUAAAGUUCUGUUGUUAGGGAAGAACAAGUACCAGAGUAACUGCUGGUACCUUGACGGUACCUAACCAGAAAGCCACGGCUAACUACGUGCCAGCAGCCGCGGUAAUACGUAGGUGGCAAGCGUUGUCCGGAAUUAUUGGGCGUAAAGCGCGCGCAGGUGGUUCCUUAAGUCUGAUGUGAAAGCCCACGGCUCAACCGUGGAGGGUCAUUGGAAACUGGGGAACUUGAGUGCAGAAGAGGAAAGUGGAAUUCCAAGUGUAGCGGUGAAAUGCGUAGAGAUUUGGAGGAACACCAGUGGCGAAGGCGACUUUCUGGUCUGUAACUGACACUGAGGCGCGAAAGCGUGGGGA
This 684-nucleotide ribosomal RNA is filed under the name Bacillus sp. At1a. Its description in RNAcentral is "bacterial SSU rRNA". It matches the Rfam family "Bacterial small subunit ribosomal RNA", at positions 97 to 767 of the family's 1533-position model. Lineage: Bacteria; Bacillati; Bacillota; Bacilli; Caryophanales; Bacillaceae. The record is from RNAcentral.